AUCCAUCCAGGGUUUGUGAUUGGUCCUGUCUUCCAGCCAACUCUGAAUAUCACUAUGAGGAUUAUUUUGAACUACAUAACUGGUAAUCUUCUCAGUUGUGGAUGUUGCAUAUGCAACUACUGCAAUCCUUCAUGAAUCUGUUUGCUGGAAGCAAUUGUCUUUUUACGUGCAGGUCAAACAUUUCCAAAUGAGACUUUAAGAUCUGUUGAUGUUAGAGAUGUUGCAAAUGCACAUAUUCUAGCAUUUGAAAGAUCUUCAGCCAGUGGCAGAUACUGUUUAGUUGGACAAGUAGCACACUUGUCUGAGUUCUUUAAGAUUCUGCGCCAACACUACCCGACACUACCACUUCCUGAAAAGUAAGAUCUUAUAAUUUGUUCUGCAAUUUCUCAGUUUAAAUCACACAAUUUUGAACAGAAAUCUGUUACUGUUAUGGUUUUCUUUUGCAAGCAGAUGUGUAGAUGACAAGCCUUUUGUGCCAAAAUAUGAGGUAUCUAAAGAGAAGGCAAAAGACUUGGGUGUGGACUUCACUCCUUUGGAGGUUACUGCUAAAAACAUCAUUGAAAGCUUGAAAGAGAGAGGCUUUCUUAAUUUCUGAGUAGUGUGAUUUAUUUAGUUUUCCUAAAUGUCUUCAUUUAUAUAAGCUUCUGUUUCUUAUAAGGUGUAUGCAGGAUGUAACCAGUUACUUCUUAAGGGGUGCUUGUGCUAGCUUUGAGCUCUUUGGGGGCCAUAUUGAUAGGAACACAUUUGAAUUGAAAGCAGAUUUUAAUAUAAUGAAAAAUAUAAAUAGGAUUAAGCUCAGUGGUACUGGAGUUGUCUUCGAACCUGUGAGAUCUUUAGUUCGAGUUUUAGUUGCAAAAUUCAUUGCAGUUUCGGUUGGGUUCAAUUUAAUUUUGAUUUGAUGAAAUUUAAUAGUUGAAAUUUUUUUCAAUUAAAAAAUCUGGUUUUGGUCCAGAAUCGAACCAACCGGUUUUGGUCUAGAACUGAACUGACCAAUUUCUAGUAAUCGUCUGCGCUUUGGUACGUAUAGAUCCU
RNAcentral lists this unclassified non-coding RNA (1032 nucleotides) under Hevea brasiliensis (rubber tree). Lineage: Eukaryota; Viridiplantae; Streptophyta; Magnoliopsida; Malpighiales; Euphorbiaceae. The record is from RNAcentral.